UACGUAGGGUGCAAGCGUUAAUCGGAAUCACUGGGCGUAAAGGGCGCGUAGGCGGCCGGCCAAGUCGGGGGUGAAAGCCUGUGGCUCAACCACAGAAUGGCCCUCGAUACUGGACGGCUCGAGACCGGAAGAGGUUGGUGGAAUUGCGAGUGUAGAGGUGAAAUUCGUAGAUAUUCGCAAGAACACCGGUGGCGAAGGCGGCCAACUGGUCCGGAUCUGACGCUGAGGCGCGAAAGCGUGGGGAGCAAACAGG
Molecule: ribosomal RNA, 253 nt
Filed under: uncultured bacterium
Lineage: Bacteria
Description: partial 16S ribosomal RNA
Rfam family: Bacterial small subunit ribosomal RNA
Source: RNAcentral